This 447-nucleotide ribosomal RNA is filed under the name uncultured bacterium. RNAcentral describes it as "partial 16S ribosomal RNA". It matches the Rfam family "Bacterial small subunit ribosomal RNA", at positions 29 to 523 of the family's 1533-position model. The record is from RNAcentral.
AGCGAACGCUGGCGGCAGGCUUAACACAUGCAAGUCGAGCGCCCCGCAAGGGGAGCGGCAGACGGGUGAGUAACACGUGGGAACGUGCCUUUUGGUUCGGAACAACCCAGGGAAACUUGGGCUAAUACCGGAUAAGCCCUAACGGGGAAAGAUUUAUCGCCAAAAGAUCGGCCCGCGUCUGAUUAGCUAGUUGGUGGGGUAAUGGCCCACCAAGGCUACGAUCAGUAGCUGGUCUGAGAGGAUGAUCAGCCACAUUGGGACUGAGACACGGCCCAAACACCUACGGGAGGCAGCAGUGGGGAAUAUUGGACAAUGGGGGCAACCCUGAUCCAGCCAUGCCGCGUGAGUGAUGAAGGCCUUAGGGUUGUAAAGCUCUUUUAGCGGGGAAGAUAAUGACGGUACCCGCAGAAAAAGCCCCGGCUAACUUCGUGCCAGCAGCCGCCGUAA